This 265-nucleotide ribosomal RNA is filed under the name uncultured prokaryote. RNAcentral describes it as "partial 16S ribosomal RNA". It matches the Rfam family "Bacterial small subunit ribosomal RNA", at positions 524 to 788 of the family's 1533-position model. The record is from RNAcentral.
UACGUAGGUGGCAAGCGUUGUCCGGAUUUAUUGGGCGUAAAGGGAGCGUAGGCGGACUUUUAAGUGAGAUGUGAAAUACCCGGGCUCAACUUGGGUGCUGCAUUUCAAACUGGAAGUCUAGAGUGCAGGAGAGGAGAAUGGAAUUCCUAGUGUAGCGGUGAAAUGCGUAGAGAUUAGGAAGAACACCAGUGGCGAAGGCGAUUCUCUGGACUGUAACUGACGCUGAGGCUCGAAAGCGUGGGGAGCAAACAGGAUUAGAUACCCU